Molecule: ribosomal RNA, 1286 nt
Filed under: Rhynchocypris lagowskii (Amur minnow)
Lineage: Eukaryota; Metazoa; Chordata; Actinopteri; Cypriniformes; Leuciscidae
Description: partial 16S ribosomal RNA
Rfam family: Bacterial large subunit ribosomal RNA
Source: RNAcentral
CAUGAUUUAGCCAGCACCCCCAAGCAAAGAGACCUUUAGUUUGAUACCCCGAAACCAGGUGAGCUACCCCGAGACAGCCUAUAUUAAUCUAGGGCUAACCCGUCUCUGUGGCAAAAGAGUGGGAAGAGCUCCGGGUAGAAGUGAAAGACCUACCGAACCUGGUGAUAGCUGGUUGACUGAGAAAUGGAUAGAAGUUCAGCCUCGUACACCCCAAACCAAGAAAUGUUAUCGCCAAGAUAUUUAGGGAAACGUACGAGAGUUAGUUGAAAGGGGUACAGCCCUUUUAACAAAGGAUACAACCUUUACAGGAGGAUAAAGAUCAUAAUGUAUAAGAUAUACUGUUCUAGUGGGCCUGAAAGCAGCCACCUAAACAGAAAGCGUUAAAGCUCGGACAGAAAGAAGUUUAUUAUACUGAUAAAAAAUCUUAUUCCCCUAACUAUAUCAGACCAACCCAUGCCCACAUGGAAGAGAUUAUGCUAAAAUGAGUAAUAAGAAGACCCGCUCUUCUCCCAGCACAAGUGUAAACCAGAUCGGACCAACCACUGGAGCUUAACGAACCCAACCCAAGAGGGUAGUGUGACUAAGAGAAAACACGAGAAGACCUCACAUUAAUUGAUCGUUAACCCCACACUGGAGUGCUAUUUUAAGGGAAAGACUAAAAGAAGAGGAAGGAACUCGGCAAACACAAGCCUCGCCUGUUUACCAAAAACAUCGCCUCCUGCAACUAAACUGAGUAUAGGAGGUCCAGCCUGCCCAGUGACUACGGGUUCAACGGCCGCGGUAUCUUGACCGUGCAAAGGUAGCGCAAUCACUUGUCUCUUAAAUAGAGACCUGUAUGAAUGGCUAGACGAGGGCUUAACUGUCUCCCCCUUCCAGUCAGUGAAAUUGAUCUAUCCGUGCAGAAGCGGGUAUAAAUAUACAAGACGAGAAGACCCUUUGGAGCUUAAGGUACAAAUUCAACCACGUUAAACGACUCUGUAAAAGGCAAGAACUUAGUGACAAUGAAAUUUUACCUUCGGUUGGGGCGACCGCGGAGGAAAAACGAGCCUCCGAGUGGACUGGGCCAAACCCCUGAAGCCAAUAGAAACAUCUAUAAGCCGCAGAACAUCUGACCAAAAAUGAUCCGGCUAAAGAGCCGAUCAACGAACCAAGUUACCCAAGGGAUAACAGCGCAAUCCCCUCCCAGAGCCCAUAUCUACGAGGGGGUUUACGACCUCGAUGUUGGAUCAGGACAUCCUAAUGGUGCAGCCGCUAUUAAGGGUUCGUUUGUUCAACGAUUAAAGUCC